GGGUCCCCUAGGUCGCGGGGCAGCCGGGGCGGAAGGGGCUUGUUCAUUAUUUUGAGAGUUUGUUGUGAACGUCAUAACCUUUCGUCCUUAAAUAUUGCCGAUACUUGACCUACGCAAGAGACAAUGUCAUGUGAUUCAGCCUAAUAUCUCAGAGGAUGCAGCAUUCAAGGUUCUAUCUUGGAAGCAGAGACUGUGCCCUCACCAGAUGCUGAACCUGCUGAGCACCCUGAUCUUCCACUUCACCUUCAUCAGAACUGUCUUUGAGGAAUUGUCACACUGUCUUCUGCAAUGGAUGAACUAAUUUACACUCUCAACAACAGUGUAUAAGCAUUCCUUUUGCUCUGCAACCUCACCAGACAUCUGUUUUCGUAUCAGGAUGAUGCUGGCCUCAUACAAUGAGUUAGGUAGGAAUCCUUCUUUUUCUAUUGUUUGGAAUAUUUUCAGAAGCAAUGAUACCAGCUCCUCUUUGUACCUCUGGUAGAAUUCAGCUGUGAAUCCGUCUGGUCCUGGACUUAUCUUGGUUGGUAGGCUAUUAAUUACUGCCUCAAUUUCAGAACUUGUUAUUGGUUUAUUCAGGGAUUCGACUUCUUCCUGGUUUAGUAUUGGGAGGGUGUAUGUGUCCAGGAAUUUAUCCAUUUCUUCUAGAUUUUUCAGUUUAUCUGCAUAAAGGUGUUUAUAGUAUUCUCUGAUGGUAGUUUGUAUUUCUGUGGGAUCAGUGGUGAUGUCCCCUUUAUCAUUUUUUAUUGUGUCUAUUUGAUUAUUCUCUCUUUUCUUCUUUAUUAGUUUGGCUAGCAGUCUAUUUUGUUGAUCUUUAGAAAAAAACA
This 824-nucleotide long non-coding RNA is filed under the name Homo sapiens (human). RNAcentral's name for it is "long intergenic non-protein coding RNA 882". Lineage: Eukaryota; Metazoa; Chordata; Mammalia; Primates; Hominidae. The record is from RNAcentral.